AAAGUCGUAACAAGGUCUCCGUUGGUGAACCAGCGGAGGGAUCAUUACCGAGUUUGCUUUUCUAGCUCGAAAACCCACUGUGAACUUACCUCUCCAAUCGUUGCUUUGGCGGCAAAUAGAAGAAGGUUUUACCGUCUAAAGGGAGUAGAAAUACCUCCUCUUUUACGUUACGCUCUUCCUACUAGGCGCCGUCAGAGGAACGCAUCACUAAAACUCUUUUAUUAUACUUUUAAUGUACUAUCUGAGUCGAUAUUUUUAAAUUAUCAAAACUUUCAGCAACGGAUCUCUUGGUUCUG
RNAcentral lists this unclassified non-coding RNA (296 nucleotides) under Ascomycota sp. RNAcentral describes it as "partial contains small subunit ribosomal RNA, internal transcribed spacer 1, and 5.8S ribosomal RNA". The stretch from base 1 to 47 matches the Rfam family "Eukaryotic small subunit ribosomal RNA", at positions 1785 to 1831 of the family's 1831-position model. The record is from RNAcentral. Lineage: Eukaryota; Fungi; Ascomycota.